Molecule: ribosomal RNA, 366 nt
Filed under: Prevotella melaninogenica
Lineage: Bacteria; Pseudomonadati; Bacteroidota; Bacteroidia; Bacteroidales; Prevotellaceae
Description: bacterial SSU rRNA
Rfam family: Bacterial small subunit ribosomal RNA
Source: RNAcentral
GGCUCAGGAUGAUUUUCUAGCUACAGGCUUAACACAUGCAAGUCGAGGGGAAACGGCAUUGAGUGCUUGCACUCUUUGGACGUCGACCGGCGCACGGGUGAGUAACGCGUAUCCAACCUUCCCAUUACUGUGGGAUAACCUGCCGAAAGGCAGACUAAUACCUGCAUAGUCUUCGAUGACGGCAUCAGAUUUGAAGUAAAGAUUUAUCGGUAAUGGAUGGGGAUGCGUCUGAUUAGCUUGUUGGCGGGGUAACGGCCCACCAAGGCUACGAUCAGUAGGGGUUCUGAGAGGAAGGUCCCCCACAUUGGAACUGAGACACGGCCCAAACUCCUACGGGAGGCAGCAAUCGAAUUCCCGCUUGCCACA